Molecule: non-coding RNA, 73 nt
Organism: Solanum tuberosum (potato)
Lineage: Eukaryota; Viridiplantae; Streptophyta; Magnoliopsida; Solanales; Solanaceae
Source: RefSeq, marked provisional
UAUUGGAUAUUGAAAAUGAAACUUUAGUUAUCGAGAUAUUCAAACUAAAGUUUCAUUUUCAAGGUCCAAUAGC